GGCCCUGACCGUCUUAUCGCCUCGCUUUCGGGCGGGGAGGAAAGUCCGGACAGCAUAGAGCACCCUACUUCCUAACGGGAAGGCGGGCGGGGGGUAACCACCGUUCGACAGCCAGUGUCACAGAAAAAAUACCGCCGCAGGGUAAGGGUGAAAAGGGGGUGUAAGAGACCACCGCGCGCUGGGCGACCAGCGGGGCAGGAUAAACCUUAGGGGCUGAAAGACCAAAUAUGUACCGGAUGCGGGGCGGCUCGUCUCCAUGCUCUCCUGCAAAGGAGGGAUGCCGGUACGGGUAGGUCGAUAGAGGGAGUCGGUGACGGCUCUCCCAGAUAAAUGAUAAGACGGUUCGACGCGCCCACGGGUACGGUCGGGCCGACAGAAUCCGGCUUAUAGGUCCGGGUCGUUG
Non-coding RNA from Fibrella sp. ES10-3-2-2, 403 nucleotides. The record is from Rfam. NCBI's taxonomy places the organism in Bacteria, Pseudomonadati, Bacteroidota, Cytophagia, Cytophagales, Spirosomataceae.